AUUGAACGCUGGCGGCAGGCCUAAUACAUGCAAGUCGAACGGUAACAUAAAAGAAGCUUGCUCUUUUGAUGACGAGUGGCGGACGGGUGAGUAAUAUUUGGGAAACUACCUGAUAGAGGGGGACAACAGUUGGAAACGACUGCUAAUACCGCAUAAAGCCUGAGGGUGAAAGCAGCAAUGCGCUAUCAGAUGUGCCCAAACGGGAUUAGCCAGUUGGCGGGGUAACGGCCCACCAAAGCGACGAUCAGUAGCCGACCUGAGAGGGUGACCGGCCACAUUGGGACUGAGACACGGCCCAGACUCCUACGGGAGGCAGCAGUAGGGAAUAUUGCACAAUGGAGGAAACUCUGAUGCAGCCAUGCCGCGUGUGUGAAGAAGGCCUUCGGGUUGUAAAGCACUUUCGGAGGGGAGGAAAAGAUGACGUUACCCUCAGAAGAAGCACCGGCUAACUCCGUG
This 456-nucleotide ribosomal RNA is filed under the name uncultured bacterium. RNAcentral's name for it is "bacterial SSU rRNA". It matches the Rfam family "Bacterial small subunit ribosomal RNA", at positions 30 to 507 of the family's 1533-position model. The record is from RNAcentral.